CUAGUGAGCUGUUGCAUGGGUAGUCCUCAGCGACGAGGCCCCAGGUAAUCUGCGCGCGCUGGACCCGCAGCCGUCUCCCGCGCAGGCCACCUGCUCCGCUCGCUGCUGCCCUCGGCCGCUGUUCUCCCGACGGGACCGCCCUUGGGCCGUGCGGGACCGGAAUCAUGCUUGGAGAGGCCUCGAUUGCCUCCCAGGCCUGCGGGAGGCCCGCUGUGUCUUCGCUUUCCACCUCCCCAAACGCUGACCGCUUUUGCGGGGCGGUGACUCGGAGGGACCGGCGGCCUCGGGAGGGCGGGCAGUUUCCGCCGAGCCUGGAGGUGGAGGCUGGGCGCCGCCAAACACCUGGCCUCCCGUCCGGUUGCUUCUCCGGGUCGCAGGGGUCGUGCGGCGGGAGCGCGGAGGGAGCCGAGAGAUACUACGCAGAGCUCUUUCUAGCCGGAAGACUUAAGACCAAGCUUCCGGUCCACGUCUGAACCAAGAGGCUGAGCUGGUGGAUGCCGCACUUGGUGAGUGAGCCGCUUGCGUGCCCGGGGCGCGAGCACUCCAGGCUGGCAGCAUGCUCCCUCCGGGCCGCAGCCCCUCCUGCGGCUGGGGCCUCCUCCGAGCGCCGCUGGCUCCUGCCUCUGCUGGGGAAGGUAAUAGUCUUGUACUAUGUAGGUCAGCAGAAACGGCGCUAGCAAGCCUGAGCACCAACAGAUAAGGGAGGGAAUAAGUCAGGAAGCUUCCUGAGCCUUGGGAAUCUGGCCGCUUCCCAGGGAUCAGCGAAUAUUCUGAGACUUAACGACUAGAGAGCAAAGCAUUUCAGAUAAUAGCCAGAGCUGCACAUUUGCGCGUAAGCUGCUGACUAUCGGCUUGCGGCUUGGCAUUAGAAGCAGGACUCCUUUGAGCAGUACUCUAGUCUCAGCCGUGGGGUGGACGCACCGCCAGAGACCUUCCAAUCGGGACUCCAGGUCGCCGUUCCAGGGACUUCCCAGCGCUGCUUGGAUCUGGAUGCCGGAGUGCGGAUCUCCUCCCCCAAACAGAACGCUGGUUCAACACUGACCCGAGGAGAUCCAAGGUGCUUCGAAGACCCCUUGGAGAUCACAGUCUACGGACGAUGCUACUCGAGGGAAGGACACAAUGGAUUUAUCCAGGUGUUGGUCGAGUGGCACCGAUGCCGCCAGGACCCAAGAGAGAGGCUUGGGCGGGCGGGGCCCUCUGCGCAACUCAGACCUCCUCGAGACUGGCGCUGGGACGAACUGAAUCUAGUUGCUGACGCACCGGCAAAACCGCCGGCCCCCUGCCAGGCGAAACUGGGCUGGGGGCUGCAAGUCCAAGGUCUAACUGUUCAGGCCCACAUCCCACAGCGGCCCUGAGGCAUCCCUGGGGCGCACGAUCAUGGGCAGGGAUCCUCUGUGUUGAGACCCUUCGGAGGCUCGGGACUACUUCGGCUGGACUGGGGCCGCUCCCAGACCACGAUCGGGAAUUUCUCCAGAUGCCCUGCAGCUGGAAGUGCAAGUUGUAACCUCAGCUCUGCGGGCCCUGGCGACCCGCCAUGGCUCCCGAGCCCGGCCUUGCCCGAAGUGGUCCGGGCCUCUCUUGAAACCCGGAGGCCUCACAGGCACCGGAUUCUGUCUGCAUAGCCGGAAAACUCCUGGACGCGAACCAGAAAAGUUUGGAAAACACACCGACCGCAGACGAAUGCGAGGAUCGGGCGGGGCCAGCGCUCCUCCCCCGCCUCCUUCCAGCCGCGAGACAGGUUGAGCCCUCCGCCCUCGCCGCCCGGAGGAGGGGAUCCAGGAGCAUCUGGGACACCAGGCUCACAGGGGAACAAGACAGACAAGUCGUUCCCUUAAAUCUCCGCAAUCUCGUAUAAAGAGGGUGGGAGGGGGCAGAGGGACACACCGAUCUCUCCCCUUCCCUCUCACCUCGCUGCUAGGUCUUCAGCGCCCUUGUGGAGGUGGUCUCGCCCGGCAGAGCGGGCUGCAUUCGCGGGCUCCGGAAAGCUCCCGAGACCUUGCAGAGAGGCAAACAAGGCUCUCCAACCCAGGCCGCAGCCCCGGUCUGUCUCCACCCCACCCGCUGUCAUCCUCGGACCCGCCCGGCGGCCCGGAGCCCGCAGUGGGCCUUCCCACUCUCCGGCGACUCGCGGACGAGCAGUUGCCUUCUGCAAAGGACGAUGGACUGAGCCUGUUCUUCUCCAGGGGCCGGAAAACCGAGAUCCUGGCCAGGCCUUUCGGGUCGAGAGUUUGCACUUGCAGCAGGAUCUCGAUCAGUUGCUCGAAGUGCACGAUUUGGUGCCUGGGUUGUGAGCGCGGCGGGAAGGGGGCGCCGGAGGGGCAGGCCGGGCUGCUCCGGGCGCAGGGGCAAGACUGUAACCCCGGCCGCGCGCGCGGGAGAAGGAGCUCGCCCGUGCCGGCGGGUGGAGCGCGCCCCCGCCAAGCACUCACCUAGGAUCUUUUCCACACGCUCUACGGGUUUGCAGGUGCUCCCCUUGGAACCAGUAGAGAAGGAUGCGCAGGUCGAUGAGUGCCCGUCGCGUGAAUACAGGCAAAUCCUCCCCUCU
Molecule: non-coding RNA, 2545 nt
Organism: Delphinapterus leucas (beluga whale)
Lineage: Eukaryota; Metazoa; Chordata; Mammalia; Artiodactyla; Monodontidae
Source: RefSeq, a predicted model, not a curated record